GAUGAAGAACGCAGCGAAAUGCGAUAAGUAAUGUGAAUUGCAGAAUUCAGUGAAUCAUCGAGUCUUUGAACGCACAUUGCGCCCUCUGGUAUUCCGGGGGGCAUGCCUGUCCGAGCGUCAUUGCUGCCCUCAAGCACGGCUUGUGUGUUGGGCCCCGCCCCCCGGCUCCCGGGGGGCGGGCCCGAAAGGCAGCGGCGGCACCGCGUCCGGUCCUCGAGCGUAUGGGGCUUCGUCACCCGCUCCGUAGGCCCGGCCGGCGCCCGCCGGCGACCCCCCUCAAUCUUUUCAGGUUGACCUCGGAUCAGGUAGGGAUACCCGCUGAACUUAAGCAUAUCAAUAAGCGGAGGA
This 348-nucleotide unclassified non-coding RNA is filed under the name soil metagenome. RNAcentral describes it as "partial contains 5.8S ribosomal RNA, internal transcribed spacer 2, and large subunit ribosomal RNA". The stretch from base 1 to 120 matches the Rfam family "5.8S ribosomal RNA", at positions 35 to 154 of the family's 154-position model. The record is from RNAcentral.